GGAUGUAGCUAAGUGGCAGAAUAUGUGCAUAGCAUGCACAAGACCCUUGGUUCAAUCCCUAGUUCAUGCA
This 70-nucleotide transfer RNA is filed under the name Marmota monax (woodchuck). RNAcentral describes it as "tRNA.Ala". The record is from RNAcentral. Lineage: Eukaryota; Metazoa; Chordata; Mammalia; Rodentia; Sciuridae.